UGGGGAAUUUUGCGCAAUGGGGGAAACCCUGACGCAGCAACGCCGCGUGCGGGAUGAAGGCCUCGGUUGUAAACCGCUUUCAGUAGGGAAGAAAAUGACGGUACCUACAGAAGAAGCUCCGGCUAACUACGUGCC
RNAcentral lists this ribosomal RNA (135 nucleotides) under uncultured bacterium. Its description in RNAcentral is "partial 16S ribosomal RNA". It matches the Rfam family "Bacterial small subunit ribosomal RNA", at positions 355 to 509 of the family's 1533-position model. The record is from RNAcentral.